AGCUUCGCGCAGUGGCAGUAUCAUAGCCAAUGAGGUUUAUCUGAGGCGCGAUUAUUGCUAAUUGAAAACAAGCUAUACUACAAAGC
Small nuclear RNA from Panthera pardus (leopard), 86 nucleotides. Its record names the gene U4. It matches the Rfam family "U4 spliceosomal RNA". From Rfam's summary of the family: U4 small nuclear RNA (U4 snRNA) is a component of the major U2-dependent spliceosome. The record is from Ensembl. NCBI's taxonomy places the organism in Eukaryota, Metazoa, Chordata, Mammalia, Carnivora, Felidae.